Molecule: transfer RNA, 72 nt
Filed under: Wohlfahrtiimonas chitiniclastica SH04
Lineage: Bacteria; Pseudomonadati; Pseudomonadota; Gammaproteobacteria; Cardiobacteriales; Ignatzschineriaceae
Rfam family: tRNA
About the family: Transfer RNA (tRNA) molecules are approximately 80 nucleotides in length.
Source: Rfam by way of RNAcentral
UGGGCUGUAGCCAAGCGGUAAGGCAGCGGGUUUUGAUCCCGCCAUUCCCAGGUUCGAAUCCUGGCAGCCCAG